CAAUAGCGUAUAUUAAAGUUGUUGCGGUUAAAAGCUCGUAGUUGGAUUUCUGUCGGUGACUCGCAGUCCGCCCGCAGUGGUUGGUACUUGUGUUGUCACCGGCAUCUUCCUGGGGACUGUAUCUGCUCUUAAUUGGGUGGUGCAUAAUCCAGGACUUUUACUUUGAAGAAAUGAGAGUGUUUCAAGCAGGCAUGCGCCGUGAAUACGUUAGCAUGGAAUAAUAGCAUCGGACCUCGUUCCAAAGCUGUUGGUUUCUUGGACCGAGGUAAAGGUGAAUAGGGAUUGUUGGGGGCAUUCGUAUUCCAAUGUCAGAGGUGAAAUUCUUGGAUUAUCGGAAGAUGAACUUCUGCGAAAGCAUCUGCCAAGGAUGUUUUCAUUGAUCAAGAACGAAAGUUAGGGGAUCGAAGAUGAUCAGAUACCAU
RNAcentral lists this ribosomal RNA (422 nucleotides) under uncultured eukaryote. RNAcentral describes it as "bacterial SSU rRNA". It matches the Rfam family "Eukaryotic small subunit ribosomal RNA", at positions 592 to 1018 of the family's 1831-position model. The record is from RNAcentral.